This 458-nucleotide ribosomal RNA is filed under the name uncultured bacterium. Its description in RNAcentral is "bacterial SSU rRNA". It matches the Rfam family "Bacterial small subunit ribosomal RNA", at positions 340 to 786 of the family's 1533-position model. The record is from RNAcentral.
UACGGAAGGCAGCAGUGGGGAAUAUUGCACAAUGGGCGAAAGCCUGAUGCAGCUAUGCCGCGUGUAUGAAGAAGGCCUUAGGGUUGUAAAGUACUUUCAUCGGGGAGGAAAAACAAAACUAAUAAUUUUAUUUCUUGACGUUACCCGAAAAAGAAGCACCGGCUAACUCCGUGCCAGCAGCCGCGGUAAUACGGAGGGUGCUAGCGUUAAUCAGAAUUACUGGGCGUAAAGAGCACGUAGGUGGUUUUUUAAGUCAGAUGUGAAAUCCCUGGGCUUAACCUAGGAACUGCAUUUUGAAACUGAAAUACUAGAGUAUCGUAGAGGGAGGUAGAAUUCUAGGUGUAGCGGUGAAAUGCGUAGAUAUCUGGAGGAAUACCUGUGGCGAAAGCGGCCUCCUAAACGAAUACUGACACUGAGGUGCGAAAGGCGUGGGGAGCGAAAACAGGGAUUAGGAUACC